AUGGCUCCGACCGAGGGAUCCUCCAUGGCCGAUCUUCCUACAGUCGAUGGAGACCAAGAGGAGGGGUCAUCGAUCUCCCGCCGCCCCAUGUCCUGGCUCCCUCCGCGCAGCCCCCGCGACUGCGGCGAGCCUCCUCCAAAGUCGGUCGUUCUCGACACCCUGGUCUACGUCGACGACUGCACCAACGCCUCCACCGCCGAGGGCGUCACCAGCAACGGCCACGCCAUCUACCUCACCUUCUGGCCCGCGCAUCCGCCGCUCAUCUCCUACUUCACCGUCCACCUACCGACCCUCCUCCAGGAUGGAUCUGCCACCUCGCUCACCCUUCUGCCACGCCUUGUCCGCACCGACGGCGACCUCGCCCUCUUCCGCGUCAUGAUCGGCUGUUCAUACAUCGACCCAGACCACAACAACUACAUCAUCUACCGUGCCGGCAUCAACAAGCUUGAGGUGCUCCCCACGCAUCCCACCCGCUUGUUCGCCGACUGGUCAGUCGCCCUCCUAAGCUGCCCCGGCGACGGCAGGUUCUUGGUCGCCAAUGUCCGUUCGACUUACGACAUUGGGCAGUACGCCCUUGACCUGUUCGACUCCGGGUCAGGCACAUGGAGCACCAGGUCCAUGCGUACAGAACCUCCACACGAGGACUGCUACUACGGUACUCCAACCAAGGUGAUCGCCCUCGGUGGCCAUCGCGGUUCAGUCGGCUGGGUCGACCUAUGGAAUGGCAUCCUCAUCUGUGAUCUGCUCCGCAGCGGCGGCGGCGAUGAUGACGUCCUCCGCUUCAUCCGUCUGCCCGUGCUUUUGGCGCCCAACAAGAUGACCCCGGGCUGUUUGUCGUGUGACCGGGACGUCUCCGUCGGCAGCGACGGCUGCAUCAAAUACUCGGAGGUGUGGGCUCAUCCGGUGCCCGGCUCACGGAAUCGCGCCACCUACAUCUCUGAGGACUGGGGUACCGCCAGACAUGGCUGGAGCCCAAGAAGAAGUGGCACAUCGACCUCAAGCUCAGAGCCUCGGACAUCAUCGUGGACGAGAUUCACUCCGAGUUACUUCCUCAUCAUGUCAAGGGUCAAACCUUGA
This 1077-nucleotide ribosomal RNA is filed under the name Triticum aestivum (bread wheat). Its description in RNAcentral is "partial small subunit ribosomal RNA". The record is from RNAcentral. Lineage: Eukaryota; Viridiplantae; Streptophyta; Magnoliopsida; Poales; Poaceae.